UACAGAGGGUGCAAACGUUGCUCGGGAUGACUGGGCGUAAAGCGCGUGUAGGCGGUCCGCUAAGUCGACUGUGAAAGCCCGUGGCUCAACCGCGGAAGUGCGGUCGAAACUGGCAGACUAGAGGCCCGGAGAGGGUGGCGGAAUUCCCAGUGUAGAGGUGAAAUUCGUAGAUAUUGGGAGGAACACCGGUGGCGAAGGCGGCCACCUGGACGGGUUCUGACGCUGAGACGCGAAAGCGUGGGGAGCAAACAGG
RNAcentral lists this ribosomal RNA (253 nucleotides) under uncultured bacterium. RNAcentral describes it as "partial 16S ribosomal RNA". It matches the Rfam family "Bacterial small subunit ribosomal RNA", at positions 524 to 776 of the family's 1533-position model. The record is from RNAcentral.